CCCAGGGCUACAGUCACAUCCUGACACAGUUCUUAUCCUGAUAUGUUGGAGUUCGAGGAAAGAACCUGCUGAUUUUUUAAAAAUAUUUUAUUUAUUUAUUAGAGAGAGAG
RNAcentral lists this small nucleolar RNA (110 nucleotides) under Neogale vison (American mink). RNAcentral describes it as "Neovison vison (American mink) Small nucleolar RNA SNORA3/SNORA45 family (ENSNVIG00000024103.1)". The record is from RNAcentral. Lineage: Eukaryota; Metazoa; Chordata; Mammalia; Carnivora; Mustelidae.